CCUACGGGAGGCAGCAGUAGGGAAUAUUGCUCAAUGGGGGAAACCCUGAAGCAGCAACGCCGCGUGGAGGAUGAAGGUUUUCGGAUUGUAAACUCCUUUUGUUAGAGAAGAUAAUGACGGUAUCUAACGAAUAAGCACCGUCUAACUACGUGCCAGCAGCCGCGGUAAUACGGAGGGUGCAAGCGUUACUCGGAAUCACUGGGCGUAAAGAGCGCGUAGGCGGGAUAGCAAGUCAGAUGGGAAAUCCUAUGGCUUAACCAUAAAACUGCAGUUGAAACUGUUAGUCUUGAGUAUGGGAAGGGUAGGUGGAAUUCUUGGUGUAGGGGUAAAAUGCGUAGAGAUCAAGAGGAAUACUCAUUGCGAAGGCGACCUGCUAGAACAAAACUGACGCUGAUGCGCGAAAGCGUGGGGAGCAAACAGGAUUAGAUACCCGGGUAGUC
This 440-nucleotide ribosomal RNA is filed under the name uncultured bacterium. Its description in RNAcentral is "partial 16S ribosomal RNA". It matches the Rfam family "Bacterial small subunit ribosomal RNA", at positions 338 to 795 of the family's 1533-position model. The record is from RNAcentral.